RNAcentral lists this long non-coding RNA (2116 nucleotides) under Phasianus colchicus (ring-necked pheasant). Its description in RNAcentral is "lncRNA (ENSPCLG00000011343.1)". The record is from RNAcentral. Lineage: Eukaryota; Metazoa; Chordata; Aves; Galliformes; Phasianidae.
AUGGUGAAUUGCACAUGGCUGGGAGGAACACUGAGUUUUGCUUCCUUAUGCAUCCCUUCUGAUCCCCUCUUUCUCCAGCAAUAUUUCACUGGUUGCAAUUCUGCAGAGCCUUUGGGUCUGGCUGCCCCCUUGACAUCUGCUGUGUUUGUGAAGAGGGAGCAGGGAACUGGAUCUGAUGUCUCACUUGUGAGUGAAAAGAAAAAUUGUAUUCUGCUCCAAGCCACUGAUCUGUCUGCAGAUGAAGUCACCUACAAGCUGCAAUAACUAACUGGAGUCCCACCUGUCUGAGCUGAGCUUUAUUGUAGAUUUCCUUGUCUUUCGACUCCUUGCGGUGCUGCUGUUUUGAUGGAGUGUGAGAUGUAGACAGUGGUCCAGGUCCUGUCAUGUGCAUGACCAACUGUCCUUGUUUUGUCUGGGAUAUAGCUAAUUUUCUUCAUAGUGACUGGUAGGGUGCUGUGCCUUAGAUUUAAGAUGAGAAUAAUGUUGAUAACACACCAAUGUUCUAGUUGUUGCUGAGCAGUGCUUACGCAGAGCCAAGGACUUCUCAUUUUCCCAUGCUGCCCUGCCAGUGUGGUGCUGGGGGUACACAAGGAGCUGGGAGGGGGCAGAACCAGGAUAGCUGAACUGAAAUGGCCAAAGGGAUAUUCUCUAAUAACAUGAGGAACUUGUUUCUGUUCUUGGAUGUUGCGAUGAUCAGUCUUUUCAAUGUGGCAAUCAGAUGAAAGUAUGUGAUACCUGUGCUGUGUGUACUGCUGGUUUCUGCUUUGGAGAAUCUUAGCCUAUUCACAUUCUUCUGGCAAAAUGGGUUCUGUUUUCACACUGAAAGCUAUUCUUGGUUCUCUCUGUGUAUGUGUGUUAUUUUGACAAGAAUUUCAGCAAAGAUACAUACAAGGAUCAUAGUGAUGGGUACUUUGUAAUGCUUCAGUUUUAGACUUGAGAUUUGGAGCAUUAUCUUUAAAUAUUUUAUUUCAAAUAUCUUGGAACCUUCUUCUAAAAUGGUGUUACUGUUUUCCAACAUUACUAUUCUCUUUCAAUCUGGAGAGACGGUCACUGAUAAAUGUCCUUAAAAAGAUACAAUAUAGCAAUUUGUUCUCAGGCUAUUUUAUUUACUUGUUUCUCAUCAGAUUUUUGGUUUCCUGGACCUUUGAUGGUGAACACCAUGACUUAUUUUGCAUCCCCUCACCUUAUGUCCUGCUUGUGCUGUAAAAUGUGCAUCUUUCAUCUGUGCUAACAGGAACUUCAGUUCUUGGCUGAGAUCCAUAAUCCUAAAACCAGAAGAGGCGUGUUUACUCCUUUUGCUCUUCAGUGUGGUGGCUCUAUUUUUAUUUUCUGUCUAGUUGUUUUUUUGUUUGUUUUUUGUUUGGUUGUUUUUUUUUGCUGAGAGGAGUGUGUAUGUGCAUGUCGUCAUUCUUGGAAAGCUUUUAGACAAGAAGUGUCACAUUCUUCCACAGGGGUGAAAUAUGGAUCUGUAUUCCACCUCUAUAGAGGGCUAAGAGAGCGAUCAGAAAGGUUUCAGGCUUGCAGCAGAGCAAACUCUUGUGUUUCCCAGAGGAAACACUGCCUUGCCAUGUGCUUCAGCCCUGACUGAGAGGUCAAUAACCGUGCCAACUCAAUCGGGCAGAAUCCCGGGGGGGGGGGGGGGGGGGAGCUGCUGUUUGUUACCUUCCCAUCUCCUCCUGUGCUACUUUCUCUCUCCUGUGGUGUUUCCUGUGCUGCUGCUGCUUCUUUUUAUUUAUUUAUUUAUUUAUUUUCAAACUACUCACUGCCUCUUCAAGAAGGGAAGGAAAAUGUUUACUGGCCUGAAUUUUGGUGGUUUAGUUACAUAGGAAAAUUUUGGAAUACGUUGUGUUUUGUUUCCCAAAUAAGAACAGAAGCUUUGUAUUGUUCUUUCACCAACUCAGCAAAAAUUCAAGUAUCAGUACCCAGAGGGAAAAGCGAGUGUGAGUGUGAGCAGCACUGUCGGCACGUGGCCACUGCUUGUGUCGAGCACUGCCAUUUUGUGAGGCAGCCAGGAGGGCAUUGACUGAGGAGCUGUCCAGACCACUCAAGUUCAGCAGCCCUCAGGAUGUUACAGAUGAAUCCGUGGGACACAAUAAAAGCUGAUGUUCUGCCUCCA